ACUCUUAGCCACAAGACCCGGAUCUGCCGGCUCCCGCGGGCGGCGGCGCAACAGAUUGCAGCGCCUGGAGACUCCAGCUGCCCCGCCUGCCGAGCAUGCGCAUGCCCAGCGCCUGCCCUGUGCGUCCCGGGAAGCCGGGCGGGAGCCUGCGGCUUCGGACGCCUACGACACGCUGCAGUCUCCACACCACUGUGCUCGAACAGCUCUAUGAAGAGGCCUAUGUGGAGAGGAGAAAAAGCCUCCACCAACAGCCAGCACCAACUUGCCAGCCAUAUAUGAACUCUCGCUAUGUUGCCUCGGCUGGUCUCAAACUCCUGGGCUCAAGUGAUCCUCCCACUUCGGCCUCCCAAAAUGGCGUCUUGCUCUGUCACCCAGGCUGGGGUGCAGUGGUGUGAUCUCAGCUCACUGCAACCUCUGCCUCCUGGGUUCAAGCAAUUCUUCUGCCUCAGCCUCCCAAAGAGCUGUGAUUACAGACGUGUGCCACAAUACCCGGCUAAAGAUGGGGUUUUGCCAUGUUUCCUAUGCUGGUCUGGAACUCAUGAACUCAACAGAUUGUCCCACCUCAGCCUCUCAAAGUGCUGGGAUUACAGCUCAAAGCACCUGUCAUAAAAAUAUUAACUUGUAAUAAAAGUGUUUAGUAACACUAAUAUGUGAUGGCAAUUUCAGGAAAGUCAAUGUUCUGAGCAAGAAGAACAAGGAACAGAAGGUAUAAUGAUAACAGAUGAGAGAGGAAAAAGCAGACUCAAUCAACUCCUACUUUUCCAUCAUUUUUCCGUUACAGAGAAUUAUCCUCAAAUUAGAAGGAGUAGGACCUACAUGGUAAAGAAAAAAUUUACGUGCAAGGCAGAUGAGGAAGUAAGAGAGCAUCCAGCCCCUUCACACAACUUCAUUCUCUGUCUUACCGAAAGAAUGUGAAAUGUGGUGGUAGCUUUACUGGGGACAGGAGAGGUGCCAGAAGUUUGAAGAUGGACUAAUCUCCUUGUUUUCUAAAAGAAGAACCUAUAAGUCUCUGAGCACAUUUUUCUUUGGCAAAAUUCUGGAAUGGAUAAUUAGACAAAUGGUUUGUGAAUCUUUAGAAAAGUGGCAAAAACAAGGCACAGCAUAAAUUCACUAAAAAAUAA
Homo sapiens (human) is the source of this 1121-nucleotide long non-coding RNA. Ensembl annotates it as SMIM14 divergent transcript. Its record names the gene SMIM14-DT. The record is from Ensembl. NCBI's taxonomy places the organism in Eukaryota, Metazoa, Chordata, Mammalia, Primates, Hominidae.